GUGCGCAACGCGUAUGGAACCUACCUUGUACAGGGGAAUAGCCCAGGGAAACUUGGAUUAAUGCCCCGUGGUACCAUGACCCGGCAUCGGGAUAUGGUUAAAGCCUUCGGGCGGUACAAGAUGGCCAUGCGUCCCAUUAGUUUGUUGGUAAGGUAACGGCUUACCAAGACUACGAUGGGUAGGGGCCCUGAGAGGGGGAUCCCCCACACUGGUACUGAGACACGGACCAGACUCCUACGGGAGGCAGCAGUGAGGAAUAUUGGACAAUGGAGGAGACUCUGAUCCAGCCAUGCCGCGUGCAGGAAGAAUGCCCUAUGGGUAGUAAACUGCUUUUAUACGGGAAGAAAAAGAGCUACGUGUAGCUUACUGACGGUACCGUAAGAAUAAGGACCGGCUAACUCCGUGCCAGCAGCCGCGGUAAUACGGAGGGUCCGAGCGUUAUCCGGAAUUAUUGGGUUUAAAGGGUCCGUAGGCGGGCCGAUAAGUCAGGGGUGAAAGUCUGCCGCUCAACGGUAGAACUGCCUUUGAUACUGUCGGUCUUGAGUUAUAGUGAAGUUGCCGGAAUAUGUAGUGUAGCGGUGAAAUGCAUAGAUAUUACAUAGAACACCGAUUGCGAAGGCAGGUGACUAACUAUAUACUGACGCUGAUGGACGAAAGCGUGGGGAGCGAACAGGAUUAGAUACCCUGGUAGUCCACGCCGUAAACGAUGGAUACUAGCUGUCCGGAACCUUGAGUUCUGGGCGGCCAAGCGAAAGUGAUAAGUAUCCCACCUGGGGAGUACGUUCGCAAGAAUGAAACUCAAAGGAAUUGACGGGGGCCCGCACAAGCGGUGGAGCAUGUGGUUUAAUUCGAUGAUACGCGAGGAACCUUACCAGGGCUUAAAUGCAUAUUGACAGGUCUAGAGAUAGAUUUUCCUUCGGGCAAUUUGCAAGGUGCUGCAUGGUUGUCGUCAGCUCGUGCCGUGAGGUGUCAGGUUAAGUCCUAUAACGAGCGCAACCCCUACCGUUAGUUGCCAGCAUGUCAUGAUGGGGACUCUAACGGGACUGCCGGUGCAAACCGUGAGGAAGGUGGGGAUGACGUCAAAUCAUCACGGCCCUUACGUCCUGGGCCACACACGUGCUACAAUGGCAGGUACAGAGAGCAGCCAUGUCGCAAGGCAGAGCGAAUCUAUAAAACCUGUCACAGUUCGGAUCGGGGUCUGCAACUCGACCCC
This 1213-nucleotide ribosomal RNA is filed under the name Maribacter sp. Hel_I_7. Its description in RNAcentral is "bacterial SSU rRNA". It matches the Rfam family "Bacterial small subunit ribosomal RNA", at positions 106 to 1319 of the family's 1533-position model. Lineage: Bacteria; Pseudomonadati; Bacteroidota; Flavobacteriia; Flavobacteriales; Flavobacteriaceae. RNAcentral also lists the same sequence under 1 other name. The record is from RNAcentral.